This 440-nucleotide ribosomal RNA is filed under the name uncultured bacterium. Its description in RNAcentral is "partial 16S ribosomal RNA". It matches the Rfam family "Bacterial small subunit ribosomal RNA", at positions 338 to 795 of the family's 1533-position model. The record is from RNAcentral.
CCUACGGGCGGCAGCAGUAGGGAAUAUUGCUCAAUGGGGGAAACCCUGAACCAGCAACGCCGCGUGGAGGAUGAAGGUUUUCGGAUUGUAAACUCCUUUUUGUAGAGAAGAUAAUGACGGUAUCUAACGAAUAAGCACCGGCUAACUCCGUGCCAGCAGCCGCCGUAAUACGGAGGGUGCAAGCGUUACUCGGAAUCAAUGGGCGUAAAGGGCGCGUAGGCGGGAUAGCAAGUCAGAUGUGAAAUCCUAUGGCUUAACCAUAGAACUGCAUUUGAAACUGUUAUUCUAGAGUAUGGGAGAGGUAGGUGGAAUUCUUGGUGUAGGGGUAAAAUCCGUAGAGAUCAAGAGGAAUACUCAUUGCGAAGGCGACCUGCUAGAACAUAACUGACGCUGAUGCGCGAAAGCGUGGGGAGCAAACAGGAUUAGAUACCCUUGUAGUC